Molecule: unclassified non-coding RNA, 211 nt
Filed under: Hevea brasiliensis (rubber tree)
Lineage: Eukaryota; Viridiplantae; Streptophyta; Magnoliopsida; Malpighiales; Euphorbiaceae
Source: RNAcentral
CGAUAAUGGAGAUUCUAAUUUCAAAUCCUCCCCCCAUUACCCCAAUUGAUUUAAAUACAAACACUAGAAACAAAAUUCCCAUGAUAACAGCAAUAAUUACGAUAACGAGUUUCCACAAUUGAAUGCACACCAAUCAACACUUGUCAACUACACUAAAAAGCGGACAAGAAUGCAUAGAUGUACUAACAUAAAUAUCAUUAAGAGCAUAUCU